CCUACGGGUGACUGCAGUAGGGAAUCUUCCACAAUGGGCGAAAGCCUGAUGGAGCAACGCCGCGUGGGUGAAGAAGGUCUUCGGAUCGUAAAACCCUUUUUUUAGAGAAGAAAGUGCGUGAGAGUAACUGUUCACGUUUCUACGUUAUCUAACCAGAUAGCCACGCCUAAAUACGUGCCAGCAGCCGCGGUAAUACGUAGGUGGCAAGCGUUAUCCUGUUUUGUUGGGCGUAAAGGGAACGCAGGAGUUCUUUUAAGUCUGAUGUGAAAGCCUUCGGCUUAACCGGAGUAGUGCAUUGGAAACUGGGAGACUUGAGUGCAGGAGAGGAGAGCGGAACU
This 338-nucleotide ribosomal RNA is filed under the name uncultured bacterium. Its description in RNAcentral is "partial 16S ribosomal RNA". It matches the Rfam family "Bacterial small subunit ribosomal RNA", at positions 338 to 668 of the family's 1533-position model. The record is from RNAcentral.